UACGGAGGGAGCUAGCGUUGUUCGGAAUUACUGGGCGUAAAGCGCGUGUAGGCGGCCUAGUGUGUCGGGCGUGAAAUCCCACGGCUCAACCGUGGAAGUGCACUCGAAACUGCAAGGCUGGAGUACUGGAGAGGAUGGUAGAAUGCUCGGUGUAGAGGUGAAAUUCGUAGAUAUCGAGCGGAAUACCGGUGGCGAAGGCGGCCAUCUGGACAGUCACUGACGCUGAGACGCGAAAGCGUGGGGAGCAAACAGG
This 253-nucleotide ribosomal RNA is filed under the name uncultured bacterium. RNAcentral's name for it is "partial 16S ribosomal RNA". It matches the Rfam family "Bacterial small subunit ribosomal RNA", at positions 524 to 776 of the family's 1533-position model. The record is from RNAcentral.